Molecule: long non-coding RNA, 362 nt
Filed under: Salvia miltiorrhiza (redroot sage)
Lineage: Eukaryota; Viridiplantae; Streptophyta; Magnoliopsida; Lamiales; Lamiaceae
Description: long non-coding RNA (SMIL_LNC013880)
Source: RNAcentral
GGUACACCACAAGCUCGCUGAUGUGAAACUUGGCUCCAAAUUCUCCACACUGUCUUCAAAUCCACUUUGAAGAGAAGGGCUGCCUCCUUUUUUGCACCAUAGUGAAGCUUACCUCCAAUGCUAUGCUCAAGAAGCCAUUGGGCUAAUUUAUUUCUUUCAUUGUCUUCAAUUUUUUUCCUUUCAAUGGCCAUUUUGUAUGUUUAGUUGGAGUAGUUGGUGAGAAUUUACUUCUCUGCAGAGAGCAUGUAUUUAUAGUUGUGUUAGUGGUUCUUUAAAGUUUGCUUUUCCCUCCUAAUUUUUGGAGGGAUAAAUGUACUGUACAGCAUCUUUGUUUAUCAAUAAAAGUGUGAUUUUGCCUCCAA